Molecule: non-coding RNA, 19 nt
Filed under: Rattus norvegicus (Norway rat)
Lineage: Eukaryota; Metazoa; Chordata; Mammalia; Rodentia; Muridae
Source: RNAcentral
GAAAUUCCAUAGAGAAUGU